RNAcentral lists this non-coding RNA (30 nucleotides) under Mus musculus (house mouse). The record is from RNAcentral. Lineage: Eukaryota; Metazoa; Chordata; Mammalia; Rodentia; Muridae.
UUGCCUGAUACUGGAGAAUUCUUACAGUGU